UACUUAUUGGCGCACAGAAAGGGAAAUGUUAGUGUGAUCUUGCACAAAGAUUCAGCGGCCGCAGAUGUGUUGAAAUCGUAUAUACACGCGAUGGUUUUGGCAAACCUUAUGGAAAAAAGCACAUCUUUCUAUUCGGAAGGAGAAGCUUGGAUGGAUAAACACUAUGACGAAUUUCUCCACAAGCUAAGAUCAGGAGGUUGGAAAACAGAACGUCUUCUUUCACCUUCCAUUACUUGGAGAGCAAAUUGGAUAAUCUCACACUUCCGGUGCUAAGAUCGACUGAAGCUUUAUCGCCUUUUUUUAAGAUCAAAAUUGUUUGGCAAAGUACUAGAAACUGAUAUGUUAGUUCUUGGUUUCCAUAUUCUAUAGUAGGUUGGAUCAUAUGCUUUUGAAGUUUUGUUACAUAUUUCUCCAAACUACUUUACUCAGUCAA
Molecule: non-coding RNA, 433 nt
Organism: Camelina sativa (false flax)
Lineage: Eukaryota; Viridiplantae; Streptophyta; Magnoliopsida; Brassicales; Brassicaceae
Source: RefSeq, a predicted model, not a curated record